Molecule: long non-coding RNA, 601 nt
Filed under: Prunus persica (peach)
Lineage: Eukaryota; Viridiplantae; Streptophyta; Magnoliopsida; Rosales; Rosaceae
Description: long non-coding RNA (PPER_LNC007053)
Source: RNAcentral
CCAACUACAAAUCAAAACCUCCAGUUUCAUUUCAGACUUAGAGAAAUAAGUCAUUCAAAACGAGAUUUCUUUCGUUACAAAAGCCAAAUCAAACAGAGUUCAGGAUUUUACAAAUAUGAAAACCUCAACAAAUUUAUGGAGAGCCCUGAUCAAGCAGAACAGGUACCACAGUGCAGUUCCAGCUCAGUAGUCCUCAAGUCCAGCCACUUCUGUCCCUUUCAGACUGAAGAGACUGCAAUUCUACCCGUUCAAAAAGCCUUCCAGGGCUUGAAAUAGAUUAAAGCUCUACCAAACUACCAAACUCGAACGUUGGUAUCUAUUUACAACUGAAGCUUAGCAAUUGAAGUUGUUGACAGUCCAAUCCAGCACAUGCAUACCCAGUCCAGCCCGGAUCAGAAGCUUUUACUCAGGCAUAAAUGGAAGUCCAGCCUUCUUUUUGUCUUUCUAGAGUUGGUUUUUUCCUUUUGAGUCUUGUAAAAGGCAGUUCUGCCUAAAAAUAGUUCGUUUUCUUAUCAUUUCUUCUGGCCAGAACUACUAGUUUUAUAUUGUGAAAAAUUGUGAAGUCCUCACCGGUCUAAGGUAACAAAAGAACUUACUUGGG